Molecule: ribosomal RNA, 171 nt
Filed under: uncultured Rhodobacterales bacterium
Lineage: Bacteria; Pseudomonadati; Pseudomonadota; Alphaproteobacteria; Rhodobacterales
Description: partial 16S ribosomal RNA
Rfam family: Bacterial small subunit ribosomal RNA
Source: RNAcentral
ACCCCUACGGGAGGCAGCAGUGGGGAAUCUUAGACAAUGGGCGCAAGCCUGAUCUAGCGAUGCCGCGUGAGUGACGAAGGUCUUAGGAUCGUAAAGCUCCUUCGCCUGUGAUGAUAAUGACAGCAGCAGGUAAAGAAACCCCGGCUAACUCCGUGCCAGCAGCCGCGGUAA